Molecule: ribosomal RNA, 460 nt
Filed under: uncultured bacterium
Lineage: Bacteria
Description: partial 16S ribosomal RNA
Rfam family: Bacterial small subunit ribosomal RNA
Source: RNAcentral
CCUACGGGUGGCAGCAGUGAGGAAUAUUGGUCAAUGGCCGGAAGGCUGAACCAGCCAAGCCGCGUGAAGGACGAAUGUGCCAAGCAUUGUAAACUUCUUUUAUCAAGGGACAAAAUCAUGCUCGAGAGCGUGACCGAGGGUACUUGAAGAAAAAGCAUCGGCUAACUCCGUGCCAGCAGCCGCGGUAAUACGGAGGAUGCGAGCGUUAUCCGGAUUUAUUGGGUUUAAAGGGUGCGUAGGCGGGCUGUUAAGUCAGCGGGUAAAGGUUGGGGCUCAACCCCGGGGGGGCAGUUGAACUUGGCUGUCGUGAGAUGUCGAGAGGUAUGCGGAAUGCGUAGUGUAGCGGUGAAAUGCUUAGAUAUUGCGAAGAACUCCGAUUGCGAAGGCAGCACACCGGCGGCGAUCUGACGCUGAGGCACGAAAGCGUGGGUAUCGAACAGGAUUAGAUACCCUGGUAGUC